GAUGAAGAACGUAGUGAAAUGCGAUAAGUAGUGUGAAUUGCAGAAUUCAGUGAAUCAUCGAAUCUUUGAACGCACAUUGCGCCCCUUGGUAUCCCGAGGGGCAUGCCUGUUCGAGCGUCAUUUCACCACUCAAGCCUGGCUUGGUGUUGGGCGACGUCCCCUUUGGGGACGCGCCUCGAAACGCUCGGCGGCGUGGCACCGGCUUUAAGCGUAGCAGAAUCUUUCGCUUUGGAAGUCGGGGCCCCGCCUGCCGGAAUACCUACUUGUAAGGUUGACCUCGGAUCAGGCAGGGAUACCCGCUGAACUUAAGCAUAUCAAUAAGCGGAGGA
RNAcentral lists this unclassified non-coding RNA (329 nucleotides) under soil metagenome. Its description in RNAcentral is "partial contains 5.8S ribosomal RNA, internal transcribed spacer 2, and large subunit ribosomal RNA". The stretch from base 1 to 120 matches the Rfam family "5.8S ribosomal RNA", at positions 35 to 154 of the family's 154-position model. The record is from RNAcentral.